RNAcentral lists this ribosomal RNA (235 nucleotides) under uncultured bacterium. RNAcentral describes it as "partial 16S ribosomal RNA". It matches the Rfam family "Bacterial small subunit ribosomal RNA", at positions 335 to 581 of the family's 1533-position model. The record is from RNAcentral.
ACUCCUACGGGAGGCAGCAGUGGGGAAUCUUAGACAAUGGGCGCAAGCCUGAUCUAGCCGAUGCCGCGUGAUCGGAUGAAGGCCUUAGGGUUGUAAAGGAUCUUUCAGAUGGGAAGAUAAUGACGGUACCCAUCAGAAGAAGCCCCGGCUUAACUCCGUGCCAGCAGCCGCGGUAAUACGGAGGGGGCUAGCGUUAUUCGGAAAUUACUGGGCGUAAAGCGCACGUAGGCGGAUC